CUCCCUCGUUGCUGAUCUCAGGUUCGAUAAUGCCAGUAUCGCACCACCUCGCCUAAAACCAACUUCGAUGAAGCGACGGGCGGUGUGUG
RNAcentral lists this ribosomal RNA (89 nucleotides) under uncultured archaeon. Its description in RNAcentral is "partial 16S ribosomal RNA". The record is from RNAcentral.